CCUACGGGAGGCAGCAGUGGGGAAUUGUUCGCAAUGGGCGCAAGCCUGACGACGCAACGCCGCGUGGAGGAUGAAGAUUUUCGGAUCGUAAACUCCUUUCGAUCGGGACGAACGGCCUCCGGGUGAACAAUCCGGAGGAAUGACGGUACCGAGAGAAGAAGCCCCGGCUAACUCCGUGCCAGCAGCCGCGGUAAUACGGGGGGGGCAAGCGUUGUUCGGAAUUACUGGGCGUAAAGGGCUCGUAGGCUGCCAACUAAGUCAGACGUGAAAUCCCUCGGCUUAACCGGGGAACUGCGUCUGAUACUGGAUGGCUUGAAUCCGGGAGAGGGAUGCGGAAUUCCAGGUGUAGCGGUGAAAUGCGUAGAUAUCUGGAGGAACACCGGUGGCGAAGGCGGCAUCCUGGACCGGUAUUGACGCUGAGGAGCGAAAGCCAGGGGAGCAAACGGGAUUAGAUACCCCGGUAGUCCUGGCCCUAAACGAUGAAUGCUUGGUGUGGCGGGUAUCGAUCCCUGCCGUGCCGAAGCUAACGCGAUAAGCAUUCCGCCUGGGGGAGGUACGGUCGCGAGGCGUGAAACGUUAAAGGUAAAGUUAGUUACGGCGUGAGACGUGCCGACGGCGACGACGAGGGAGGAGG
Molecule: ribosomal RNA, 634 nt
Filed under: uncultured bacterium
Lineage: Bacteria
Description: bacterial SSU rRNA
Rfam family: Bacterial small subunit ribosomal RNA (bases 1-545)
Source: RNAcentral